RNAcentral lists this transfer RNA (65 nucleotides) under Trigonopterus sp. 6 AH-2016. Its description in RNAcentral is "tRNA-Val". Lineage: Eukaryota; Metazoa; Arthropoda; Insecta; Coleoptera; Curculionidae. The record is from RNAcentral.
CAAACUAAAGCUUUAAAAAGUAUUUUAUUUACAUUAAAAGGAUUAUUAUUAUUAAUAUAGUUUGA